This 301-nucleotide ribosomal RNA is filed under the name uncultured bacterium. RNAcentral's name for it is "partial 16S ribosomal RNA". It matches the Rfam family "Bacterial small subunit ribosomal RNA", at positions 509 to 807 of the family's 1533-position model. The record is from RNAcentral.
CAGCCGCCGCGGGAAAACGUAGGGUGCAAGCGUUAAUCGGAAUUACUGGGCGUAAAGCGUGCGCAGGCGGUUAUAUAAGACAGAUGUGAAAUCCCCGGGCUCAACCUGGGAACUGCAUUUGUGACUGUAUAGCUAGAGUACGGCAGAGGGGGAUGGAAUUCCGCGUGUAGCAGUGAAAUGCGUAGAUAUGCGGAGGAACACCGAUGGCGAAGGCAAUCCCCUGGGCCUGUACUGACGCUCAUGCACGAAAGCGUGGGGAGCAAACAGGAUUAGAUACCCGCGUAGUCCCUGUCUCUUAUAC